Molecule: ribosomal RNA, 562 nt
Filed under: uncultured archaeon
Lineage: Archaea
Description: bacterial SSU rRNA
Rfam family: Archaeal small subunit ribosomal RNA
Source: RNAcentral
UAGUAACACGNGGACAACCUACCCUUCGGGUGGGGGACAACCUUCGGGAAACUGAGGCUAAUACCCCAUAGGCCUCGGAUACUGGAAGGUUCCGAGUACCGAAAGCUUCCGGCGCCCGAGGAUGGGUCUGCGGCCUAUCAGGUAGUUGGUGGUGUAAAGGACCACCAAGCCUACGACGGGUACGGGCCCUGAGAGGGGGAGCCCGGAGAUGGACUCUGAGACACGAGUCCAGGCCCUACGGGGCGCAGCAGGCGCGAAACCUUCGCAAUGCNCGAAAGCGCGACGAGGGGANCCCGAGUGCCCUUCCUUUCGGGAGGGCUUUUCUGGAGCCUAAAAAGCUCCAGGAAUAAGGGCUGGGCAAGACGGGUGCCAGCCGCCGCGGUAAUACCCNCAGCUCGAGUGGUGGCCACUAUUAUUGAGCCUAAANCGUCCGUAGCCGGACCCGUAAAUCCCUGGGUAAAUCCUGGCGCUCAACGUCAGGAAUUCCUGGGAGACUGCGGGUCUUGGGACCGNGAGAGGCCNGAAGUACUCCCGGGGUAUGGGUAAAAUCCUGUCAUCCCNG